This 653-nucleotide ribosomal RNA is filed under the name uncultured Bacteroidota bacterium. RNAcentral's name for it is "bacterial SSU rRNA". It matches the Rfam family "Bacterial small subunit ribosomal RNA", at positions 67 to 724 of the family's 1533-position model. Lineage: Bacteria; Pseudomonadati; Bacteroidota. The record is from RNAcentral.
GGUAUAGUAGCAAUACUAGAGACCGGCGCACGGGUGCGUAACGCGUAUGCAACCUACCUUUUACAGGGGAAUAGCCCAGAGAAAUUUGGAUUAAUGCCCCAUGGUAUAAUUGAAUGGCAUCAUUUGAUUAUUAAAGUUCCAACGGUAAAAGAUGGGCAUGCGUCCUAUUAGCUAGAUGGUAAGGUAACGGCUUACCAUGGCUACGAUAGGUAGGGGUCCUGAGAGGGAGAUCCCCCACACUGGUACUGAGACACGGACCAGACUCCUACGGGAGGCAGCAGUGAGGAAUAUUGGACAAUGGGCGCAAGCCUGAUCCAGCCAUGCCGCGUGCAGGAAGACGCAUCUAUGGUGUGUAAACUGCUUUUGUACGGGAAGAAACACUCCUACGUGUAGGAGCUUGACGGUACCGUAAGAAUAAGGAUCGGCUAACUCCGUGCCAGCAGCCGCGGUAAUACGGAGGAUCCAAGCGUUAUCCGGAAUCAUUGGGUUUAAAGGGUCCGUAGGCGGUUUAAUAAGUCAGUGGUGAAAUCUGGUCGCUCAACGAUCAAACGGCCAUUGAUACUGUUAGACUUGAAUUACUGGGAAGUAACUAGAAUAUGUAGUGUAGCGGUGAAAUGCUUAGAUAUUACAUGGAAUACCAAUUGCGAAGGCAG